Molecule: long non-coding RNA, 2891 nt
Filed under: Anser brachyrhynchus (Pink-footed goose)
Lineage: Eukaryota; Metazoa; Chordata; Aves; Anseriformes; Anatidae
Description: lncRNA (ENSABRG00000006059.1)
Source: RNAcentral
GAAACAUUUUAAGUUGGGGCAACUCCUCUUACAUAAGAGAGUCUUUCUGCCAAGUAAUUACCUCAGUUGGUCUUUACGUUGUAGGUGAGUGUUUGUACAGAGAUUUCCACUCCUCAUGAAACAAAGAGCUACAGGAGAGUUCACAUGCUCAGUAUAUGGCACAAACAGGACCAAAGCAGACUUGUGCUUGGUAAAACUGAAGAAAAACCUCUCCAAAAAGUACAGAGAAAAGGAGAACAUAUGCUGAACUGUAAUCCUGUCUCCUGUGGAGUCCUUCUCACUGCUGCUGCUUCCAGCAAAACCAGAGAUAUCUUGACACCUUGCAGAAGCUCGGGAACACCUGGCUGGCUCUCAAGGUGCUCUAUUUCCUACUUUGUAGCUGCAAAGCUGACAUCUCAACAGCAGGAAAGCGUGACCCUGAUGCCAUGCCCUGAGAUUACAAACAAUGGAAUUGGAGAAAGAAACAUUCUGAAGAGAAAUUCUAAGUCACUGUUUCCUCUUAAGGGUUAAAUUAGACCUACAGCAGCAAUACCACCCUGCAGACAUGCAUAGGCAGACAUAGAUAUAUAGAGAAAGAGCAUUCAUGCUCUUUUCACUUAAAAGGAUGCAUAGGUUUUUUGUUGGUGUUUUUUUGUUUGUUUGUUUUUGGUUUUGUUUUUUUGCUUUACAGGAAUUCUCACAGACUUCAAGACGCGACAUUGAUGAGAGCAUGCUGUCUCUUGCCUAAACAAUUUCAAUUGAUUUUAUUAAGAAAAAGAAAUCUUGGAAUAGCAUCUGCUUUAAAAGACAAUAUCUCUCUUUCUUAUUCUGACAUAAUAAGUGCUGACAGAAAAGAGCACAGAAGUAUAUCUUCUGUGAGACGUCUCAAGUGUCUGACAGCUGCAUUCAGUGCUGCAUCUGGGCUGGAAUUUUCAAGAGUGCAAAGACACAGGUAGUCAAAUUCCAAGAGAGUUGGGGCCUUUGUUCUGGAGUUUGUUUUGAAGCUUAGACUUAAUCCUUGCUGCAAGAAAUAUUCUUUGCUGCAUGGUAAGCCUCACUGAACAACCAAGUAAUGUUGUUACCCAGGCCAGGAGUACUCCAAAGUACAGUGGAUCAAAUAUAGGAUGACAUGCACAAGAUAGCCUUGCUAAUUAAGUUUCUGAAAUCCUUGCUGGUUUACUCAGAGAAGACAAUCAACAAACAGUUUAUUAGAAACAAACCCUAUGGUGAGUGGUAUCAUGGCCAUGGAAAGAGAGGUAUCAAUCCCAAGUCCCUAAGGGCUAUGCCAAAUGGAGGGAAAGAUGCCCAAGGCUACUUCUGCUUCUUAGGAAGAAGUAUCACCGGUUCUUUUAGUAGCAAGAAGGCUGCAAGAAGGUCAAGGAUGAGGCUUACUGUCUCUGAAGAUAACAAUGAGCAAACUGGCUGUAUGUCAACCUAGUGGGACAACUAGUAUAUUAGGAAUGAAUAUACGUGCUCCCAGCAAAGGAAUAUCUAACAACAUAAAAGAUGAAUGCUGUGCUGAUUGUGAUAUAGUCUUCAAGAAUCUUGCAAAGUGUGAUAUCAAAAUAGUGGUGGAUGGCUGCAGUGCCAAAGUAGAAAAGGAAGAUGUGGAAGAGUGGAAGGGAUCUAAUGUCUAUGACAUAACAAUUAACAAUGACAUGAGAUUAACUGGUUUUGUAGCAGUUAAGGACACAGUUGAAUAACACAGAAACUUGCUUUAAAAUGUUAUCAGGCAUGUAUGUCUAUCUACAGAGGAGGUUUCUAGUAAUCAGAUUGUAUAUUUUGUCUCAAGGCAAAAACUGGAAGCCUAAGAAUUGAUCAUAGAAUGAUAGCACAAACGUGAUAAGAAAGUUCAGUAGACCAGUUACAGAUAAAACACAGCAUCCUGGAGGUAUAUGAAAAACAGGCUGGAAAAGGUAGCAGUUAAAAAUAGACUUCAGAAGAAAUCAUGGCAGACUGAAUCAAAGAAGAUAAUUCAGGAGAAUUCCAAGUAUGAGAAACAAAGGAUCAUUUAACAGCACGUGGGAAAGUAAUUGGAAACUGACAUGCAAAGUGAGAAUACAACUUACAAGUUGGUCUCAUGCUAAGAAGUGUGAUAAAACCAAAAAAGAAGAACCUGAAGUACUUAGGUCCAGUAGGACUAUGCAGAGUAAAAUACAUAUAAUGUAGGAGUAUUUUAUGAGAGCUACAACACAUGGAGAAAAGAAGAUCAACUGUGAGUGUGAAAAAGGACCGUGUAAGAAUGCAGUUCUGGACAGAGGGAGGGAGUUCUUUAAUGACUUUCUUAGUACAGAUAGCUUAGCUGUUUGUAGAAGAGAAAAGUUUAAGAGGUUUAAGAGGCAGCUGGAAUUCUCGGAAACAACAAGGAGAAAAAUGUUGGAAAUUUUAGAACUGAAUUACUGAAAUCAGAGAGAUGAUGGAAAGGACUUUGUGGGAUGGUGGGAUAAGAUAGCUUAAAGACUAUUUCAAAUGACUUUGUUGGAUUGGAAAUAGUUUCUCCAGCAAUUUUUAUAAAGUGUUGGAAUAGAUUAUGAAAAGGAUCACAAAACUUCCUGCUCAGUACAGUUUAUUAAUUCCUGUUUGUGACAUUUUAUACACCCAUCCGUUACAGAAAGGAGAUAACAAAUGAAUAGCAAUGUGGUUUCUGGAAAAUAAGAGUGGGAGUAGACAGAAAGAUUGACUCCUUCUUGUCUCCUUAAGGUGUCCUGGGAGUCAUGGUACAAUUAUAAAAUUUGCAAGAGGGACUGAAAUUAGAUGAUUGUCACCAGUCCUUCUGAUGUUACUAAUGGUUUUACUGGCUGCAAAAGAAAGACAGUGUGAUACAAAACAUAGCUGGAGACUCCAAGGAAGUAGAAAGAAAAAUGGGACUCAAGGUAAAUAAAGAUAAAACCAAUUAUUGACUGUUAUCUGAC